This is a non-coding RNA of Myotis lucifugus (little brown bat), 372 nucleotides long. The record is from the annotation of a RefSeq genome assembly. Lineage: Eukaryota; Metazoa; Chordata; Mammalia; Chiroptera; Vespertilionidae.
AUGACUCCCAUGUGGCUCUUCCUCUUCCUGCUGUCAGCUCCCAGAUGUGUCCUGUCCCAGGUGCAGCUGCAGGAGUCGGGCCCAGGACUGGUGAAGCCCUCGCAGACCCUCUCGCUCACCUGCUCUGUCUCUGGAUUCGCCAUCACAACCACUGGUUACGUCUGGCACUGGAUCCGCCAGUCCCCAGGGAAGGGGCUGGAGUGGAUGGGGUACAUAGAUUAUGAUGGAGACACUGACUACAGCCCCUCCCUCAAGAGCCGAACCUCCAUCUCCAGAGACACGUCCAAGAACCAGUUCUCCCUGCAGCUGAGCUCUGUGACCACCGAGGACAGAGCCGUGUAUUACUGUGCAAGAGACACAAUGAGGGGUUAG